This 996-nucleotide ribosomal RNA is filed under the name Dysgonomonas mossii. Its description in RNAcentral is "bacterial SSU rRNA". It matches the Rfam family "Bacterial small subunit ribosomal RNA", at positions 63 to 1057 of the family's 1533-position model. The record is from RNAcentral. Lineage: Bacteria; Pseudomonadati; Bacteroidota; Bacteroidia; Bacteroidales; Dysgonomonadaceae. RNAcentral also lists the same sequence under 1 other name.
CGAGGGGCAGCAUAGAGUAGCAAUACUUUGAUGGCGACCGGCGCACGGGUGAGUAACACGUAUGCAACCUACCUACAUCAGGGGAAUAACCCGGAGAAAUUCGGACUAAUACCGCAUAAUACAGGGAUGCCGCAUGGCAAUAUUUGUUAAAGAUUUAUCGGAUGUAGAUGGGCAUGCGUUCCAUUAGCUAGUUGGUAAGGUAACGGCUUACCAAGGCAACGAUGGAUAGGGGAACUGAGAGGUUUGUCCCCCACACUGGAACUGAGACACGGACCAGACUCCUACGGGAGGCAGCAGUGAGGAAUAUUGGUCAAUGGACGAGAGUCUGAACCAGCCAAAUCGCGUGAAGGAAGACUGCCCUACGGGUUGUAAACUUCUUUUGUACAGGAAUAAAAGACAUUACGUGUAAUGUAUUGCAUGUACUGUACGAAUAAGCAUCGGCUAACUCCGUGCCAGCAGCCGCGGUAAUACGGAGGAUGCGAGCGUUAUCCGGAUUUAUUGGGUUUAAAGGGUGCGCAGGCGGGAUUUUAAGUCAGCGGUGAAAUUUUCAGGCUCAACCUGAACACUGCCGUUGAAACUGGGAUUCUUGAGUAUGGAUGAAGUAGGCGGAAUUCGUUGUGUAGCGGUGACAUGCUUAGAUAUAACGAGGAACUCCGAUUGCGUAGGCAGCUUACUAAGCCAUAACUGACGCUCAAGCACGAAAGCGUGGGGAUCAAACAGGAUUAGAUACCCUGGUAGUCCACGCCGUAAACGAUGAUUACUAGUUGUUUGCGAUAUACCGUAAGUGACUAAGCGAAAGCGAUAAGUAAUCCACCUGGGGAGUACGCCGGCAACGGUGAAACUCAAAGGAAUUGACGGGGGCCCGCACAAGCGGANGAACAUGUGGUUUAAUUCGAUGAUACGCGAGGAACCUUACCCGGGCUUGAAAUGUACCUGACCGUCCUUGAAAAGGGACUUCUAGCAAUAGCNNNAUGUNNNGCUGCAUGGNNGUCGUCA